UAGGGAAUAUUGGGCAAUGGGCGAGAGCCUGACCCAGCCAUGCCGCGUGCCGGAAGAAGGCCCUCUGGGUUGUAAACGGCUUUUGACGGGGAAGAAACGACUCUUGCGAGAGGCAUUGACGGUACCCGCAGAAUAAGCACCGGCUAACUCCGUGCCAGCAGCCGCGGUAAUACGGAGGGUGCGAGCGUUGUCCGGAUUUAUUGGGUUUAAAGGGUGCGUAGGCGGUCUGGUAAGUCGGCGGUGAAAGCCCGGGGCUCAACCCCGGAACUGCCAUCGAUACUGUCAGACUUGAGUACGGUUGAGGUUGGCGGAAUGGGCGGUGUAGCGGUGAAAUGCAUAGAUACCGUCCAGAACCCCGAUUGCGAAGGCAGCUGACUAAGCCGUAACUGACGCUGAGGCA
Molecule: ribosomal RNA, 400 nt
Filed under: uncultured bacterium
Lineage: Bacteria
Description: bacterial SSU rRNA
Rfam family: Bacterial small subunit ribosomal RNA
Source: RNAcentral